Non-coding RNA from Bacteroides eggerthii 1_2_48FAA, 47 nucleotides. Lineage: Bacteria; Pseudomonadati; Bacteroidota; Bacteroidia; Bacteroidales; Bacteroidaceae. The record is from Rfam.
GUUGUGAUUUGCUCUCAUUUUAGUAUCUUUGAAACAUUGGAAACAAC